RNAcentral lists this ribosomal RNA (459 nucleotides) under uncultured bacterium. RNAcentral describes it as "partial 16S ribosomal RNA". It matches the Rfam family "Bacterial small subunit ribosomal RNA", at positions 355 to 806 of the family's 1533-position model. The record is from RNAcentral.
UAGGGAAUCUUCCACAAUGGACGCAAGUCUGAUGGAGCAACGCCGCGUGAGUGAAGAAGGUUUUCGGACCGUAAAGCUCUGUUGUUGGUGAAGAAGGAUAGAGGUAGUAACUGGCCUUUAUUUGACGGUAAUCAACCAGAAAGUCACGGCUAACUACGUGCCAGCAGCCGCGGUAAUACGUAGGUGGCAAGCGUUGUCCGGAUUUAUUGGGCGUAAAAGCGAGCGCAGGCGGAAGAAUAAGUCUGAUGUGAAAGCCCUCGGCUUAACCGAGGAAUUGCAUCGGAAACUGUUUUCUUGAGUGCAGAAGAGGAGAGUAGAACUCCAUGUGUAGCGGUGGAAUGCGUAGAUAUAUGGAAGAAUACCAGUGGCGAAGGCGGCUCUCUGGUCUGCAACUGACGCUGAGGCUCGAAAGCAUGGGUAGCGAACAGGAUUAGAUACCCUGGUAGUCCAUGCCGUAAA